This 1165-nucleotide long non-coding RNA is filed under the name Apteryx rowi (Okarito brown kiwi). RNAcentral describes it as "lncRNA (ENSARWG00000002563.1)". The record is from RNAcentral. Lineage: Eukaryota; Metazoa; Chordata; Aves; Apterygiformes; Apterygidae.
GCGCGCGGGGCCGGCGAGGGGCGGGGGCGGAGGCGGGGGGAGACUUCCUGUUUGAGGUCAGCGGCGCGAGGGGAGGGGAGGGAGGGGGAGCGCGGCGGAGCCGCUCCGCGGUCUCGCGCUGCCUGGCGGGGUUCUUGUCAGUUAGCAACAAAAUGGCCGCGGUGGCAGCAGCUCUGCUCCCGAGGACGGCGGCGGCGUCCGUGGCGGCGGCGGUGGCGGCGGCGGCGAGGCGGAGCGGGGGACCGGCCCGGCGGCACUGAGCCUGGCACCGCCUGCCCGCGAGCGGACGAGCCGAGAGCGAGCGGGAGAGACGGAGAGAGGCGCUGCGGGCCCCCCCGCGCCCUACGCCAGCCUCCGCCGGCGAGACCGACCGACCGACCCUGCCCGCGACGCUGCUGCGGCCCCUGGGGAGCCGCUGCCGCCCCCGCCUGCCGCCUCCCCCCGGGGGCACAGGCGCCCGGCUCCCGGCCCCCGCCGCCGCAGCCCCCCCGAGAGGCUCUGCCGGCUCCCGCGGAGGAGACGGCGGGAGCCCGCGGGGUCUCUGCUGCUGCCCCCGGAUCCCCCCCGAGAGCGCGGCAGGCAGGCAGACAGACAGACAGACUGUUGGGUUUCCCCACUCCCCCCUUCGGGUCCCCGUGCCCCCCUCCCCGUGAAAGACUCUGCUGGAUCCUCCUCCUCGGAUCCCCUCCCCGCGCUCGCUCCUUCCUGCGGGAGAGACUGCUGGAUCCUCCUCCUGCGAGAGAGGCUGCUGGAUCGCUUCGCCCGGGUCCCUGCGAGAGAGGCUGCUGGAUCCUCCUCCUGUGAGGGACUGCUGCGGGUCCUCCCCCUCCGCGGAUCUCCCCAUGCUCCUCCAUGUGGACUGAGAAUCCAUCAAGGCACGCACACGAGAACUCAUCCCGGUCAACUCCAGAUCCUGGCUUUCGUGGGCUUUGCUGCAACACAUAAAGCAAACUUGUAUUUAAGACACACAGUCGUGCAAAAAUUUAGCUGGGGACUUAAGGUGUAUUUUGUCUUGGUUUCUUGGUCUUGUUUUUUUUUUUCUUUUUGCUUCACUGGAAAUCAAAAGCUUGUUUUGGAAUUGGACCUGCCUUUGCUGCACUUCUCCUCUGGGCUGGAUAACACUGAAGCUCUUUGCUUUUCUACUUGGAUAGUGUUUUCUUGUUGA